RNAcentral lists this transfer RNA (69 nucleotides) under Rattus norvegicus (Norway rat). It matches the Rfam family "tRNA". From Rfam's summary of the family: Transfer RNA (tRNA) molecules are approximately 80 nucleotides in length. The record is from Rfam by way of RNAcentral. Lineage: Eukaryota; Metazoa; Chordata; Mammalia; Rodentia; Muridae.
GGGGAUUUGGCUCAGUGGUAGAGUACUUGCCUAGCAAGCACAAGGCCCUGGGUUCGGUCCCCAGCUCCA